This 346-nucleotide small RNA is filed under the name Pongo abelii (Sumatran orangutan). RNAcentral describes it as "processed transcript". The record is from RNAcentral. Lineage: Eukaryota; Metazoa; Chordata; Mammalia; Primates; Hominidae.
GAGAACGAGGAGAAGAGCAUCUUCCGCAUCCCCUGGAAGCACGCGGGCAAGCAGGACUACAACCGCGAGGAGGACGCCGCGCUCUUCAAGGCUUGGGCACUGUUUAAAGGAAAGUUCCGAGAAGGCAUCGACAAGCCAGACCCUCCUACCUGGAAGACACGUUUACGAUGCGCACUGAACAAGAGCAAUGACUUUGAGGAACUGGUUGAGCGGAGCCAGCUGGACAUCUCAGACCCGUACAAAGUGUACAGGAUUGUUCCUGAGGGAGCCAAGAAAGGAGCCAAGCAGCUCGCCCUGGAGGACCCGCAGAUGUCCAUGAGCCACCCCUACACCAUGACAACGCCUU